Triticum aestivum (bread wheat) is the source of this 366-nucleotide long non-coding RNA. RefSeq lists it as uncharacterized. The transcript has 2 exons. NCBI's taxonomy places the organism in Eukaryota, Viridiplantae, Streptophyta, Magnoliopsida, Poales, Poaceae. The record is from RefSeq and is a predicted model, not a curated record.
AGAUGGGGUACCCCUCAAAAAAUAGGGACGGAGAUGGGGUCCUAGACUGCUAGACGUGACCCGCCGCCGCCGUGACCACGCGAGGUGUGAAGCUACCUCGCCAGACUGCCUCAUCGCUCCGGGAACGAUCUGCGCCUUGCACGUCGGCUGGUCCUUACCGUUCUUUGGUUCUUGGAUUCAGAAGAUCGGUACAAGCACUACGUGUUUUUAUCAAUCGAGGUAUUGUUCAUAUGAAGUACUGAUCUGGUUGUUUUGGAGUGGGUAUGGGUAUAUUCCAGUUUAUUUGGUGAGCAUGGAAGCACUGGUCGCAUAAAGCACUGUUGCAGAAAAAGUUACUGUUCUAGAAAUAAUAUUUUGGUUUCUUCU